RNAcentral lists this ribosomal RNA (2137 nucleotides) under Escherichia coli. Its description in RNAcentral is "partial 23S ribosomal RNA". It matches the Rfam family "Bacterial large subunit ribosomal RNA", at positions 711 to 2827 of the family's 2925-position model. The record is from RNAcentral. Lineage: Bacteria; Pseudomonadati; Pseudomonadota; Gammaproteobacteria; Enterobacterales; Enterobacteriaceae.
AGACCCGAAACCCGGUGAUCUAGCCAUGGGCAGGUUGAAGGUUGGGUAACACUAACUGGAGGACCGAACCGACUAAUGUUGAAAAAUUAGCGGAUGACUUGUGGCUGGGGGUGAAAGGCCAAUCAAACCGGGAGAUAGCUGGUUCUCCCCGAAAGCUAUUUAGGUAGCGCCUCGUGAAUUCAUCUCCGGGGGUAGAGCACUGUUUCGGCAAGGGGGUCAUCCCGACUUACCAACCCGAUGCAAACUGCGAAUACCGGAGAAUGUUAUCACGGGAGACACACGGCGGGUGCUAACGUCCGUCGUGAAGAGGGAAACAACCCAGACCGCCAGCUAAGGUCCCAAAGUCAUGGUUAAGUGGGAAACGAUGUGGGAAGGCCCAGACAGCCAGGAUGUUGGCUUAGAAGCAGCCAUCAUUUAAAGAAAGCGUAAUAGCUCACUGGUCGAGUCGGCCUGCGCGGAAGAUGUAACGGGGCUAAACCAUGCACCGAAGCUGCGGCAGCGACACUGUGUGUUGUUGGGUAGGGGAGCGUUCUGUAAGCCUGUGAAGGUGUGCUGUGAGGCAUGCUGGAGGUAUCAGAAGUGCGAAUGCUGACAUAAGUAACGAUAAAGCGGGUGAAAAGCCCGCUCGCCGGAAGACCAAGGGUUCCUGUCCAACGUUAAUCGGGGCAGGGUGAGUCGACCCCUAAGGCGAGGCCGAAAGGCGUAGUCGAUGGGAAACAGGUUAAUAUUCCUGUACUUGGUGUUACUGCGAAGGGGGGACGGAGAAGGCUAUGUUGGCCGGGCGACGGUUGUCCCGGUUUAAGCGUGUAGGCUGGUUUUCCAGGCAAAUCCGGAAAAUCAAGGCUGAGGCGUGAUGACGAGGCACUACGGUGCUGAAGCAACAAAUGCCCUGCUUCCAGGAAAAGCCUCUAAGCAUCAGGUAACAUCAAAUCGUACCCCAAACCGACACAGGUGGUCAGGUAGAGAAUACCAAGGCGCUUGAGAGAACUCGGGUGAAGGAACUAGGCAAAAUGGUGCCGUAACUUCGGGAGAAGGCACGCUGAUAUGUAGGUGAAGUCCCUCGCGGAUGGAGCUGAAAUCAGUCGAAGAUACCAGCUGGCUGCAACUGUUUAUUAAAAACACAGCACUGUGCAAACACGAAAGUGGACGUAUACGGUGUGACGCCUGCCCGGUGCCGGAAGGUUAAUUGAUGGGGUCAGCGCAAGCGAAGCUCUUGAUCGAAGCCCCGGUAAACGGCGGCCGUAACUAUAACGGUCCUAAGGUAGCGAAAUUCCUUGUCGGGUAAGUUCCGACCUGCACGAAUGGCGUAAUGAUGGCCAGGCUGUCUCCACCCGAGACUCAGUGAAAUUGAACUCGCUGUGAAGAUGCAGUGUACCCGCGGCAAGACGGAAAGACCCCGUGAACCUUUACUAUAGCUUGACACUGAACAUUGAGCCUUGAUGUGUAGGAUAGGUGGGAGGCUUUGAAGUGUGGACGCCAGUCUGCAUGGAGCCGACCUUGAAAUACCACCCUUUAAUGUUUGAUGUUCUAACGUGGACCCGUGAUCCGGGUUGCGGACAGUGUCUGGUGGGUAGUUUGACUGGGGCGGUCUCCUCCUAAAGAGUAACGGAGGAGCACGAAGGUUGGCUAAUCCUGGUCGGACAUCAGGAGGUUAGUGCAAUGGCAUAAGCCAGCUUGACUGCGAGCGUGACGGCGCGAGCAGGUGCGAAAGCAGGUCAUAGUGAUCCGGUGGUUCUGAAUGGAAGGGCCAUCGCUCAACGGAUAAAAGGUACUCCGGGGAUAACAGGCUGAUACCGCCCAAGAGUUCAUAUCGACGGCGGUGUUUGGCACCUCGAUGUCGGCUCAUCACAUCCUGGGGCUGAAGUAGGUCCCAAGGGUAUGGCUGUUCGCCAUUUAAAGUGGUACGCGAGCUGGGUUUAGAACGUCGUGAGACAGUUCGGUCCCUAUCUGCCGUGGGCGCUGGAGAACUGAGGGGGGCUGCUCCUAGUACGAGAGGACCGGAGUGGACGCAUCACUGGUGUUCGGGUUGUCAUGCCAAUGGCACUGCCCGGUAGCUAAAUGCGGAAGAGAUAAGUGCUGAAAGCAUCUAAGCACGAAACUUGCCCCGAGAUGAGUUCUCCCUGACCCUUUAAGGGUC